GUUCAGUUCCCGGUACCGGAAAAAAACAAAACAAAAAAAAAAAAAAAAGAAAAAAGAAAUUAUUAAGACCUAGAAAUGAUUAGGAAAUUCUCAAGGUAACUAAUCUGACAGUCUUCAUUCAAUGCUUUCUAAAUUAUCAGUGAAGAGAAGCAGCUGUUCGCGGAAAUGCUCAAACCUCAGAGGUUUAUUAAUGGGUCUAUUAUGCCUUCAUGAAGGAGCUGUCAUUUUGAUAAUCAAAUAAAUACAAGUUUCAGCCCUUUCUGGGGAAAAUUCCCAUCUUUUCAUUUCCAGUCUUUUCCCAGGCAAAAGAUGAUUUUUACAUCACUAUGCAUCACUGAGAUACAAUAGUUAUAUUUAUGUGUCACCUAACAUUUAUUGGCUACAUAUCUGAAUUCUUGCUUUUGGAACAUUUAAUUCCUUAAAUUUGCAGCUGAAAUAGCUUCCUACUUUGCCCACAGGUCUCUGAUUUUUCUUUCUUGGGCAACAACUCAGCUUACUUAAGAGACUGACUUUUCCCCCAUCUUUGAGCAAAACUCCCUAACAGUGUAAUCUCUGCUGAUGUAGACGCCCAAGGUCAGCCUCCCAAAUGCCCGGACUUUCGAGCUCUUGUUUUCGUAAGGCGCACUGAAGGGGAUGUUGGAAUGCGGUGCUGUGUUCAGACACAGUGCUAAAACUUUCCACAAAGCCUUAAGGGUCUGGAAUCCUCGCAUUUCAACUCAGCUGGGGAAACGACACUCCGGACGUGGGCGGUGUGUCCUUAUCCUCUCUCACGGACAUGAUGUCUCUUGAAAAGCAACCCUGGAUAAGACACAGAUGGCCCGGAGUCCACUGUGCUGCCCUGGACUUCAGCUCCCUGCUGUGGCCCUUUCACUUACACUGAAGGGCAUGGCUUCUUAAUUAUCCAGGAGCCAAUGAGCGACCCUGAUAUGUCUACCUGGACGACAAGGGCUGCAGAGCCAAGGAGAAUGAGACCCUCAUAUUCUUGAGGUUCAGGACAUCCCAGUGAAGGAGUUCUGCAGAGCUGCCUCCCUUGGAAAAUAAGCUAUCAAAGACAAUGCAGGUCUUCCUCCAAGGUUCAAGAUUGUCUUUCCAAUCACAGUGACAAGUGAGAUGCCCAUAUGAGUGUCACACCUUUGGAAAGACACCCACCUAUUGCCCUGGUCCACCAAAGAAAGAAGGUAAGUAAAAGGAUAUGGACUUAGGAAUCCAACUUUCAAACACUGCUCACUGGAGACCAUGUGGGCUGGUUACAGCGUAACACACAUAUCUGUCCAGUGCUUCCUACUCUGUAAGCAGCCGGAAGCUAUGGACAAGAACAAACACAGGAAAGCUCCAGCCAGCCAUCACAGAGCUGUACUGCAACGCAACAAUAUGUCUUCAUAAACAACCGCCUAGCUGAACUAACUUGCCACAGUUCACUCAGACUCAAGAAGGCUAUCCCAAGAUGCCCCUGCAGGCUGAGCAGACCUCCUGCAAGUCAUCUGGGCUGUGAGCAGGACUCUGAACUUCUGUGCUGAAGCCUGAAGUACGCUGGCCCUUGUCCCUUAAUCCCCAACACAAGCAACCGUGUGGCUCAGGUAUUACUGGGGUUUCUUUUCACCUAAGGGGGCGUAGGGUCCAAUAACGACGCACUUGCCCACGGUGACAGUCAGGAAGAACAGCUAGGCUUUGUGUAGAGCAUGCUUAUCUCCAGCACCGCCAUUUCAGUCCUUAAACUGUAUGGGACAAGGGGAUUGGGCAAGAGAGCAGGUCACUCCUCUCUGCCUACCCGAGCAAUGACAAAAGCACAGACCUCAAAGAAAUGUCUCUUAAGAGGGUGCCAGUGUGCUUGGAUCCCUCAAGCUGCCAGGAAGUGAGCAGCUGUGCUGUUAAUAGUUCUAACUUCAGGCAGGUGCUUGUGCACUGAGCUACAUCCCCCGCCCCGACAGUUCUGACUUCAACACCUUACUCAUCACGCCUUCUGUGCCUCAGGAAGAGAAACGUCACAAAAAGCAACACAGUCACGUACACAGAGGGGCACGUGCUGGUUGGCUGAAGCCACGCCCUGCUUUCCUCCUGACCGUGCUGAGUAAGAGAAAGAAAGGUACCACAUCCAAAUGCCACGUCUCUGGUCUACCCCCCCUCUUCCUGCUCGGACCUCUCAUCUCCAGGACUGCGUCUGCUCCCCGUUUGCUGUGAUGCUGGGUCUCCAGUGUCCUGGGACAGAGCGGGCUCCAGUGAGGACACUGCGGAGUCCACAGUCACUCCCCUGCAGUGCUGGGGUCCUGGUGGGAAUGGUCACAGCCCUUUGUCCAGAAGCAUGUCUCCUAUUGGCCAUGUGAAUCCAUUUAGGGAUACUUUUGUAGGGUUUCUCACAAAACAAGAAUGGCUCUAAACAGGGCCACCAAAACCAAAAUAUUGAAGAGGAAGGCAGAGAAAGCUUCAGCAGGAAACAAGGGCUGUGACUUCAGGGCGUAAAGCCAGGGUUGACAGGCCUGCCUGAUGGCUGUUUGUGUCUGGGACCACCCUGGCACUUAUUACCAUGAGAAGGAGCUGAGAGAGCUGAGACUGUCAGGAAACACGGUAGGAGCAAGCGGAUGUAAGGAGUGCAGUGGUCCCGGCCGGACAGGGCACCGGGCCAUCCUUCCGUCCCCACUGCCCGCAGCAUCCCGCCUUUGCAGCGCUACAAAGACUAAGAAAGGGACUGAGAGUCACAUGUCAACUCCCGGAGCACACUCAAGGCCGCAGUCAACACUGCAGCCAAGUAGGUGGCCCUGCCUAACAAGGGAGACACGGCCCCCAGAGCAGGGAGACAGCGCAGGGCACUCCUGCGCUCCACCCCCACUACCUCCUGGGGGUCAGACAGCACAGGGCCCUGCAGGGGUCCUUCCCCUCCUCCUCUCUCACAGUGUGACAGGGUCACAGCAGAGGGAGAAGGAUGUCAAUAGCAAGCAUACACGAAAUUAGCUAUACAGGCUGCCAAAGCCCUCUUUUUGUUUUGCAAGAACAUGACUAUGCCAGUUUUCCUCACCAUGAAGAGAGAAAUGAAAGGCAAAAGCACUGUACCUGGUGAAUUUUAUCCGGGCUGUGCUACGUUACCAGACCCCGAGCCCCCUAUUUCCAAGCACACCUACUGCUUUUAUAGGAUCCUUUUUCCCUUCAAAAUUAUAAUUAUUUGUAAACCGACUUCAGCUGAAUUGUGAUGUUGGCGUUUCUCAGGAAAGAGCUGCAGGUGAAGGUGGCAUGAGGACCCACUCUGUGCCUGUCCCGGGAGCAUUUACGAGGGCAGUCUGGAGGGCAGGGAGGACACCGCAUGAGACCUGUGUCCCAGGACCCUCACGGUCAGCUGUGAGGUCCGCAGUGAGUGAAGCAGUGCCGGAGGAAGCUGCCAAAGGAAAGCCACCGCUGGCAAGAGCAGCGGCCAAAGGUUUUGCACUUAAACGUGGAGGCGAUCAGAGGUCUGGGCCGGGGGUGCUCACGGCAACCCGCAGACAUCAGUCUGCAAGCCAAUCAGAGUGCAGUGACAGUCCCACUACCCAAAGCAGUCAGGGACAGAUCUGGGAGCUCAGUCCCCAUCAGGAAUGUUUUCACAGAAGAGCAAUCAAUGCAGUUUGUUCCUGUACUCUCACGUGUCUGUGAGAUCAGUGUUGGCCUUGUAAACUUUGUCCUCUUUGCGGAGUUAAUCAGUCAUUUCGAGGACACUGGGACAAAGCGCAUUUCACUGCUGGGUCUAGUCCUGCUGGCUGUCGGUCUGGCUUCUCUUCCGUUAGCUCCAGGUGACAGCACCCUCUCUACAGGUCAGCUGUCACUCAUACAGACGGUUGGCCCGCCCUUUGCAUCCCCUGGUGGAUCCACAUCCAAGGAUCCAGCCAAUCUGGGACCCAGUUAUUUAGAGAGCAGCAACUAAAUACUGUGUAAGGUACUCUAAGUAACCCGCAGAUGACUUUAGCUCCCAGGAGGGCCACGUGGGCUCUGCACAUAUACUACUUUCUGUAUGGGACUUGAGCAUCCCUAUAUGUGGAGGUGCAAUGUGUCAGGGGUCCUGGGACCAACCCCCCAUGGGUACCAAAGGUUGAACAUUUACAACUGUUUUGGGAAGCAGCUCAUCUAAUCACUUGAGCUUGGGCUGGAUACUACUGUCACCCCAGGACUGAGAUGUGCAUGAAUGUCCAACUCUACAUACAGAGAAAUACAUCUGAACAGAAGGUGAAAGGGACAGUUUAACCAUCGUUGAAGUAGGUGCUCAUCCUCCAACUUGCGACUGCUUCCCUGGCAGUUCAGAUGGCAGAGUGACUCUCAGCCGGCAUUAUCCAAGAGCCUUCUGUCUUGUCUUGUCCUCCUCCCCACACCUGCUGGUAAAGAAAAGCCUCAAAAGCACCAUCAUGAAAGUGACAUGAAGAGAGAAACAAAAAGCAGCCAAUGAGCCACUGGGCUCACAACAUGGAAGACUUGUCAUUAGAAAUGACAAUUAUGUUUGGUGGUUUUCUGCAAAUUUAACGACCCUAUACUGCUCUGAGCUAACUGUCACGUCAGGAAAUGUAUGAUGAGCACCUGGACUUCACUCACGGCCGUCUGUGACUAUGGGGGGCAGGAACUCAAUCCCGCACAGAAAUGAGAUCCUCAGGGGAAGCUACAAGGUAGUUUCUUUCUUUAAAGAUCAGCAUGUGCUCAAUUAACACCUGAGGAUCACUGGAAAGAUUAUGUUUAGUCAAAAGUCAAAAUUCUAACUAUAAUUCUGAAGGACUUUUGAUAUAGUCCAUUAGUAAUUUAAAAUUCUAAUUCUUCUAUAUUGGACACUAGUGUGAAUUUCUGUGUUUUAAUAAAAAUUUCCGUGGUGGUCCAUCAAAUAAAGUUUAGACAUAGUAGAGAAACUGGUUACUUCAUUAGCCCGCAGGUCCCACCGAGGAAUUUCUGAGGCCAGUGGCAGUGGCUGGGCUUGCCGUGCGUGGCUUCCUUCUACACAGACUUCCUGACCACUCUCAAAGUUCUGGACUCUGGUAUGACCGCCACUGUUUGCGACCUUUUUAAAGAGGACUUGAGAUCAAUUUGCCUGCUAGAACCCAGAGCUGUGUCAUGUUCUUUGCCCUCCUGCUGUCAGAGCUAUGUCUGCAUUCUGAGUGUGUGUGUGUGUGUGUGUGUGUGGCGGGGGGCUGGAAGCUGGUAAAUACACAGCUUUUUCCACCUGGUAAGGCAAGAAAGAUAUGCAAAGAGAAAAUAAGACCUUGAGAGGUAGAACUCAGAAAUUUCUUCCCCAGAAGUUCAUGUACAGAAAAGCCAAGUCAACACCACACAUCUGGAAUACCUGACCACCUGAGUAUUGUCUCUUCUGAUGUAUUAGGAAAUGAAACUGACAGAGAUAACUCACAUGAAAACUUGAUGUCUGCAAAAUCUCUCUUUCUGAGAGGAGGGAGAGCUAUUUUAUAACCAUAAAGACUUCUUUGUUCUAAAAUACAGCAAUCUGGUAUCAGGUAUAUUCGGCAAAUGCGACAGAAUAUCCCCAGCUAACACUUGUAAGAACAUGAAAAGAUAAAACUCUGCUGUGAGAAACGCACAGAACUGCAGGACGAGGACGGGUCCCCACACACCAGGGGACAUUUGGCAACGACUGGAACAUUUCUGGUUGUCACAGCUGAGAGGCUCGGUUGCUGGAAUCUGGUGUGUACAAACCAAGGACACUGAUAAAUAUCCCACAAGGCCCUCUUCAGCCACCCGCAACAAGGAACUCUAUGGACCAAAUGUCAAAAUGUCAGCAAUGCUAAGACUGGGAAAUCCUGCUGCAUGCGUGAAGUCCAUAGAACGCUCUGUGGACUUCUGUCUCUAUCUCCAAUUAGAAGUGCGGCUUCCCACUUCCCAGAUAAAAUGCUCACUUGAAUUAAUCUUCUUUAAAAAGAGAAGAAACGUAAAUAUUCUGGUGCUCAAGCUUAACCAAUUCCUAUUGAUUGCUGGACUGUUACAUACCUGCAUAUUCUACCACUGAUGAUUAAAGCAUAAAAUGUAAGAAGAGCCUGUAUCGGAUGCACUGUAUCAGAGCCACUGGAGCAACCCUCAUGCCAGCAUAUGCUGAAGAGCAGUCUUUGUUUUCUUAGAAAGGCCCCUCUACAUUCAUGCCAUCCUUUAUAAAUUGGCCACCUCACGAAAGGUGCUAUGACGAAGGUCUGUGGGUCUUCUCGGGCAUUUUGUACAUCUACAGCACUUCCUGCUCUCCCCACUGUCUGCAAGAGUGCAGUGCUGCCUAAUGGCGUGCAAAGCACAGCCUGGAGAGACAACCUGGACACCUCGCAUUAUUGGGUCUGACAGAUCUGGACGGCUCUUGGAAUCUCACAUAACAUUUAAUGGGAAACUCAGCUCUCCAGAGAGCAAGGCUUCUGGUAGCAGUGCCGUUCCCUAGAGCCGUAACUCUGAGUUCUGAAUAGGAUGCCUUCUUCUCUUCAGCAGAUUUCUCCACUCUUGCACUAUUUUGAAAUCUCACAUAGGACAGUUCUUGUGGUCGGGGAUUGUCCUGUGCAUCUGGCAUUCUGGCAGCACAUCUACUCACUGGAUCCUGAUAGGACUCCACUGUUAUCUGUAAUAACCCAAACUGUGUCCAAACACUGCCAAAGGCCCCUGGGGGGCUGGGGGUGGUGGUAAAAAUCACCCUGUGCUUAAGAACCACUGAGCUCCUCUAAGGCAGCUCAGGCAAGGUAAUCGUAUCAAGUUCUCAGAAGUGACUUGAUUUUAAUCAAAUGUGCAGAGGGGCACACAGAGCUUCCUUAUGGAUAGAAUUUGGAGAGAUACCCAUCACCCCGGCAAGGCCAGAGGCUUCAGCAAAGAAGCUGGGAAGCCGGGCCUACUGAGAACGUGAUGUGCACAACGUGGAUCAGUUCCCGCACGUAACAAUAGGGACCCCGAGUACAAUCAACAGCACUUCCGCCCUGACGUCACGUCCCGGACCCCGUGAGGUUCCUGGACAUGUCAUGUCUGACUCAAAGAUGACCAAAGGGAUGGAAAUGACUUCACUCAAGAUUCCUGCCAACAGCCAGGCGGGAACCGGUGAGCUGGCUAGGAACUGGCAUGUCACCAUUUCACGACCUACACAAUGAUAGGAGGGAAUUCCAUCGCGGUUAAAACCAGUGGCUUGAAAGUCUGAAAAUUCAAUGUUCAAACCCUCAGUCAGUUCCUUCCCAGCUAUGCGGCCUGGCAUCAGUCCAUUAACUUGUCUCAUGGUGCUGAAUUCAGCAAAUAGAGGAGCAACCCAGACAAUAGGGAAAGUUCUGGAAAGAGGAGUCCUGGCGUUUAAAACCAUCCGUGACAAGAAUCCCACAUGCAAGAAAACAACAAGAAGCAAAGAAGAUGGUGUGGUAACUGAGACGUUCCGGAUGCUUUUAUUGAUAUACAUUAAACAAAAAUGGAAACGGACCCUCAGAGCACAACUUCCCACAUUUGUGGGGCCUGAAGAUCCCAGCAAGGAGAAGGCAGAAAAUCAGGUCCUCCACUGAUCCUGGCUCUCAGUGGACUUAUCGCUGGGCUCGAAUGCAAGGGGGACAGAAACACAGAUGCUGACAGGUUUUUAAAGUUUCUAUCCCAUCAACUAGGAAGUGCACACAUACACACAAAUGAGACAGUCGUACCCUUAAAAUAAAGAUAGGGCUGCUAGUUAAUAUUUAUUGAACAAACAUUACCAGCCUCCACUCAGCGGAAUAUCCUCAAAGCAAUUUUCUAUUUUUAUGUUGGUGGUGGGGCUUCCAGGAAAAAGAAGGACCAGUUCCUUAGUUUUCUUCACUUACUACUAAGUUCUGCCUUCGUCCAUUAGAACGAAUAGCUCUGGCUUAUUCACUGCUGGAUUCUUAGCGCCUAGAAGAGUGGCUCGCAGGAGGUACUCUGAAAGUGUUUGUUGAAUGCCUGAAUGCCUUUUAUUUUUAAAGGAAUGGUGUAGGGGUUUUUACCUCGCCAUCCCAUCCCCCAUAAAAUAAAUCUCCCUGAGCUGCCUUUGCUAAUCUCCGGGAUUCCCUCCCAGCCAAUUAUGCUCGGACACAACCUCCGCCUCCCACUCCACAUUCCAAAGUGUUCAUUCCUUCCAGUCCCAGAAAGGCAACUCCAUGCCACCGGUCGGGGAGAGGUCACACUCCUCCUCAGAGUCUAAAACUUAUUUGACCCUGGCAUUUCCCAUCUUUGGGCUUUUCAAACCCAUAAAAAUAGAAAUCUGUCAAGCUACCAUAAGACAGCUAUCCGAAGGAGGCAGCGACAGUCUCUCCUAGGCAUAAAAUCACUGUAAAUAUUGCAAAACCUGCUAAGUUUUGCCUGCAGUUCUGCAGAAACGUAGGCAAGUGUUUUGAUUUCCCUGGACACACUGGAGAGGAAUGACUUAUGGAGUCCUGAUCCACACUGAACCCAGAGAAACACUAUAGUUUCAGGUCAUUCUGCUCUGAUUGUUAAAAGUGACCUUAUUUUUACAUUCUAUAAAGAUAGAACCAAAUAAGUGGUUCUACUUCAUUGUUUAAGAGAAACACAUGCACUUAACCGUGUUUAUUUUUCAUAGUCAAAAUCUUCAUGUCAUGCCUCUACUCUGGCCAAAAUUGUAUCUUUAACCUGAGAGGGAUAUUUUCCCAUUCCAUAAACUUACACAGGUGCUGGAAGUUUUCUUAACGGUUAGUCAUGGCAACUGGCCUCCUGCAGUGGGAAGUUUGGACUUUCUGUUGUCAGACUUAAACACAGAAUCAAAACUAGCUCAGUACUGUGGACACUGGACGAUGUUGGCCUUUCAGAGAACCUUUUAUUAGAUAUAGAAAGAAGCCUCAAUGUCCACUCUGACAGAGGCUGUCUCUGUCUACGACAGGAUAGUUCAGUCGGCCCACUGGCACGAUUCCUUCUCCCAGAGUGGGCAGCACGGUCACACGGGCCCUCACAGCCCUCCCCGUGGAAAGGCGGAAGGUCGCGGUGGUGUGCAUUUACUUGGUGUGGUACAUGGCAAACACUCUGUAGAAGUGAGCUGUUGGUAUCAUCAUUUGCUUUGGAAUGUUAUCUUUGUAUCUCUUCAGGAAAAAAAACUGCACUCCUGAAGGAAUUCCCUCAUUUUGGUUCUUUCACCCACAAAUACCACAAUAAGUUACAGGGCGGAAUGGAAACUCAGGGGAAUAAGGCUUCGAUAGGUCUUUGGGGUGAUUUUCAUGACUUUCACUUCUUGCAAAGGGCAGCCUGUUUUGAAACUGUGGAGGUUACUGGCAUGGUGCUUUAUUUUUCUUUAAUAAGCAAUGUUUCCUGAAAUGUAUUUCAAGUAAACAACAAACUGAUAAAUGUAAACGCUUUGCAGUUAUCUGAACACCAAGAAAAGGUGCAAUAAAGUUUAUGCACAUUAA
Long non-coding RNA from Chinchilla lanigera (long-tailed chinchilla), 9311 nucleotides. RefSeq lists it as uncharacterized. Lineage: Eukaryota; Metazoa; Chordata; Mammalia; Rodentia; Chinchillidae. The transcript has 5 exons. The record is from RefSeq and is a predicted model, not a curated record.